Molecule: long non-coding RNA, 3129 nt
Organism: Syngnathoides biaculeatus (alligator pipefish)
Lineage: Eukaryota; Metazoa; Chordata; Actinopteri; Syngnathiformes; Syngnathidae
Exons: 3
Source: RefSeq, a predicted model, not a curated record
CAACAUUGACCUUUCCAACAUGGCCGCCACAUAGGCACCUCGACUAGCUACGCCGCGCUGGUGUUUUAAUUUAUAUCGAUGGUCAGACCCGCUUCACACAUUUCCAGCUGUGUUGACGCAAGGCUUGGGUCACAAAAAAAAAUUCAACUCGCAGACUUGCAAAACUCGGAACGCGGUUCCUGUCAUAUGUGUGUGAGAGUCGUCGAAUCGACCAUUUUGCAUGUCAGCGGUCAUUCUCCCAUCCCAAAAAAUAAAAAAAUCACCCUCCGAUCAUAUUUCACGGAUUUAACGGACGCCUCGACGCUUUCACGAAGCUCGACCUCAUCUCACACCAACCAGAAUGCAAAGGCAUCCACAAAACUGCAUUUCCAGAAGACGCACUAAUGCUAAAAAGGUUCCUGAGGGAGCCCCCCAACAGUUGAGAAAGUGACCACCCAAGUGCUGCGAGCUGAAUGCAAUGCACGGAAUGUUCUUUGAAGAUAAAGUAAAGCUGGAGGAAAAGAAAGAAAGAAGGAAUGCAAAAUGAAUGCAGCAAAAUGAUAGUUAUUAGACCAUUUUUUUUUCUUUUCACCAAUAUUCUUGAUUCUGCCUCGUGGGGACAUUUGAUUGAAUGAUUAAUUGAAAUUCCACCUAGCGGUAAAAAAAGGUAAACGAGAUAUACAACCAGGAAAGGUCACUGAUGAUGUAGCGAUAGGCUACCCUUGUGAGGAUAAGCGGCUUGUAUAAUGACAUGACACAACCAGGAGAAACAUUUUCAACCAACAUAUGAUAACCAACAUGUGACUGCUUUGCGACAAUUUAUUUUCGGAUGGAACUGGGGGCACUAAUGAUCGUGCCCCACGAAGUCUGCCUAGCAACAAGAGGCCACACAAACAACGUGAUCUGAAUAAAAAAUGUGAAUCCUAAUCAACUUUGUGAGCAUGACUGCACUUUGCCAUUGUUUUUGAUGGGCUAAGGGGCACAAAUGUCAUGUCAUUAUCCAAGCUGCUUAUCCUCACAAGGGUAAUGGGAAAGCUGGAGCCAAUCCCAGCUAGCUUCAGGCGAAAGGCGGACUACACCCUGAACCGGUCGCAAGUCAGUCGCAGCGCAGAUAUCGACACCAUCACUGAGCGGGAAUCGAUCCCACGCGCCCCACACCAAAGGCAGGCGUGUGUACCACUGCACCGUCAGUGAAUCCGGGCACAAAUGAUUUUAUCUAAAAAAACAAAUAAAUAAAUUCUUCAACAUCAGACUGGACUGGACAAACCAUUGGAGUUGGGUCAUAAAUGAGGAUGCCCCACGAAUUCUGCCUUUGCAACAAGGGGUCAUCAAAGACAGUCGGGGGGGGGGGGGGGUCAGGCCAAUUUAAGUCAUGUUAACUGCCUUGUGAGAAUUUUAUUUUUGGACACACUUGAGGUCACUAAUGACGCCGCGUCACAAAUUCCACUCAGCAGCGAAAUGCUGCACAAACGACUCAGGUGAGGUUCCCAAACCCAACGCAGGCACGGACAUGCAAAUUCCACACAGGCGGGGCCGGGAUCAAACCCGGAUCCUCUGAACUGUGAGCCCAACGCUUUACCAGCUGCCCCACCGUGCCGCCCCAAAAAACAUGCAACAUGGAUUGGGCACUCAAAAUUACCCCGCCUCCUGCCCGUUGACAGCUGGCAUAGGCUCCAGCACUGCCUGCGACCCUCCUGAGGAUAAGCAGCAAAAAAAAAAAAAAUAGAUGGAUGUACUGUCAUUGUGUUUUUCUACUUUCCUUUGUUUGAUUGAAGACUAAAUUGCCCAUAGGUGUGAAUGUGAGUGCGAGCGGUUUGUUUUUACGUGUCCUGCGAUUGGCCGGCGGCCAGUUCAGGGCGUCUCGCCCAAAGAUAGCUGGGACACGCUCCAGCACGCCCACAACCCUAGUGAGGAUAAGCGGCACAGAAAACAUGGAUGGAUGGCCACUUUGUCCAAUCGAUAAUACAUUGGCGAGAAAUCGAUCAGGUGGGUGUGACGCGGACAAGAACCUUGCUGCUAACGUUCUGCGUAGCACAAUUUCCCGUUCCACACAGGCGGGGCCGGGAUUCGAACCCGGGUCCUCAGAACUGUGAGACCACCGCUUUACAGCUUCCCAACUGUGCUUGUCCGACCAUCUUGUUAUAUUUAGAAAAAAAAAAUACACACACGCAUACAUUUAUUUGGUAUUUGCACGAAAAAGACGGCCAAAUUCCCGGGAGGCCCACAAGGCCCAGACGGCGCACGGCGGCGUUUUAUGACCUGAUCCGCGCACGUGGCGCAUAUCGUGAAAACCGGCUGUCGGUUUACCUUCCUCCGCGCAUACCAAAUAUUUCGCCGCGCUCGUCGAAGCGUGCCAAGUCGCGUCUGACAAAACAAUAAGGCACCGGCGGCGGGAUUAAGCGGAGCGGAGGAAAAAUGAGCGGACGUGUUCUUCACGUUGGGGUGCGAACAGAUUCACGACAAAGCCAGCGAAGGCACAUUCCAAAACAUUUUUCAACAUCUUCGAAAAGUUUCAAAAGGCAAACCAACUUUCAGGCAACUUUUCCAGCUUCAGACAUUCUUUAACUUUGAUAGCGAAGCCAUGUUAUCAGUUUUUCACUGUGGACUCACUCGGAUCCAUUUAUCAGCAAAGAUGCUCCGAUGAGAUUUGAUAUGAUUUAUAUCCAGAUGGCCCACUCUGUUCUUGAGUCUUUUUUUUUCUUCUCCACUUUCAUCCAUUUUCUGUGGCGCUUGUCUUCAUUAGGGUGGUGGGUGAGGUGGCGCCUGUGCCAAGUACCUCUGGGCAAUCGGCGGGGUACGCCACGGACUGGUCGCCGGUCAAUCGCGGGGCACAUAAACACAAACUUAACACGGGAGGGUCAAAGUCAAGAUUCGAGCCCCGAACCUCAGAACUGUGAGGCAAAUGUGCCCACCGCUACUCCACUGCUCAGUCUUUCUUAUCUUCAAUUUUGUCUAAAAUGCUUGCAUGAUUGUUUUUUUCUAAAUAAUUUUAGAAAUAUUUAAGUUUUUAAAAACACUUGAUUAGUUAUGUUUAUUGUAAAUAACAUUUUUAAACUACAAAAAACAUGUAAAUUAAUUACAGUAUGCAUUAGAAAACUUUAUUUUGUCCUUUGUAAGUAAAAAUAUUAAUCAAUAAACAAUAAAUAUUGU